GAAUAGAAAGCACAAAACUCUCUCUAAAGAAUUGAACUUCUCUCUAGAAUCAACUCUCUCCUCGGCAAAAUUUUCAGCCAAAUCAAAAUUUCUCAAAUCAAAAUGUGAAUCUCAUUUGUCACGUAUGUUGAAAUAUCUAAUCUUUUCGUUUUUUUGGGAAAGAAGUUGCUCUAUUUUAAUCAACCGAUUUCACAGAGGAAGAAUCAAAGAAACAAUUUCUGUUCCUAAUCGAUUUCGUGCAUCCUUUCCUUCUUAUUUGUUACUAUCUCAUAUCUAACUAAGAUCCCAUAAAGAUUUAUAUAAGAUAUAUUUACAUUUAAUUUUUUUUAUAAUGAUUCUCUAAGACCAAAUUUUCAACAUGCAGUUAGGGAUAAUUAUUCUUUUUUUAGCAAUUUCACAUUUGUAUUCUCAAAUUUCAUCUCAAAUUUCUCUGAGCCCUUUGAUAAUCUAUAGGAAUACAACAAAAAUAAAAUCACACAGAAAGAAUCAUUUGAAGCGUAUUUGGUGUUGUUAUUGUGAAUUCUCUGUCUUGAUAGAAUCUCAGCUAUAUAUUUCCCUGGGAAAUGAAAGGAACUAGACGAGGAAAACGUGGGAGAGGUGGGACGAGUUGUGGCCGUGAAAAGUUUCAAGGACGUGACAAUUUUGGAGCGACGUCUCAGCCACACAUACAUAUCGGACACGUAUCUGGUGCAUCUGUAGAGAUAGGACAACCAUGUAACCCGAGUCAAGGACCUUUACAGACCGGACGAGUAUCUACUAACUCUCUCCAAAUACCUUCUUUAGAAACACAAUCAUCAUGAAAUGUAGCAGAAACUGUGCAUCGCUCUCCAGGGCUGAAAAUUGUGCAAGGACAAGACACAUAAACAGUGGUAUCAUUCAAGGAUGGUAUCGAGCAAAGAGCAGCUACAUGUCACUUAAUAUUUUAUUUUUUUUGGGAUAUGUAUAUGCGUACAAUUACAAUGCACAAUGAAGUGUCGUGUAGUAUAUAUGUAAUUGACUUUUUAGUAAUGAUAAUAUUUAUAAUAUUCGGCUU
Nicotiana tabacum (common tobacco) is the source of this 1033-nucleotide long non-coding RNA. RefSeq lists it as uncharacterized. Lineage: Eukaryota; Viridiplantae; Streptophyta; Magnoliopsida; Solanales; Solanaceae. The record is from RefSeq and is a predicted model, not a curated record.